UACAGAGGUCUCAAGCGUUGUUCGGAUUCAUUGGGCGUAAAGGGUGCGUAGGCGGCGCGGUAAGUCGGGUGUGAAAUCUUGGAGCUUAACUCCGAAACUGCAUUCGAUACUGCCGUGCUUGAGGACUGGAGAGGAGACUGGAAUUUACGGUGUAGCGGUGAAAUGCGUAGAUAUCGUAAGGAAGACCAGUGGCGAAGGCGGGUCUCUGGACAGUUCCUGACGCUGAGGCACGAAAGUGUGGGGAGCGAACAGG
This 253-nucleotide ribosomal RNA is filed under the name uncultured bacterium. Its description in RNAcentral is "partial 16S ribosomal RNA". It matches the Rfam family "Bacterial small subunit ribosomal RNA", at positions 524 to 776 of the family's 1533-position model. The record is from RNAcentral.